GGAGGGAUCAUUAACACGUAUCCAAAACGUUCAAACCCAAACCGUGCUCUUUUGUUUCCCAUUGAGAUUAGGUGCUACUAGUAAGCCACAGAUGGAUUCCCCCUCUCUAGGGAGGGGACUGCUUACAGUAACUAUCGAUCCCUCGAGGAUCAAUCUAGUUUCAAUGGUGUAUUUCCAAGCCAUCUGGUUAUUAGACCAAACCGGUUCCGACCCGGAGUCUAGUAGCCUUACUAAACCCCAUUUUUUUAACCCCUUUAUUUUAAUUAAUUACUGACUUUAUAAAAAUGUUGGAUAAUCCCAUAUUUUUUGUAUACGAAACGCGAACAACUCUUAGCAAUGGAUAUCUUGGUUCUCGUACCGAUGAAGAACGCAGCGAAAUGCGAUACGUAAUGCGAAUUGCAGAAUUCAGUGAAUCAUCAAAUCUUUGAACGCAAAUUGCGCUCUCGGGAUAGACCUGGGAGCAUGCCUCUCUGAGUAUCGGUUCUAACUCUACUCGACAGCGUACUUUCUUUAUUGAAAGUAUUAGCUGACGGAAAAUGAGUGUCUCAAUUACUGAACAAAUUGAGUCACUUGAAAAUCAUACGAAAACUUCAGAACUCCUAGUAAGCAAGACUUCUUGGUAUUUAUAUCAAGAAUAGCCCUUUGAGAUAUACCCUUGUUGGAUUUUCCAAGUCAAAAAUUUUGACUGUAGGGAUGCAAAGGUGUGGCUUAUUUACUGGUGACGUGGAUAGAACUACCUUCGGGUGUUUCAAAACGUCAAUGCCUUUAAAUUGAGUCCAUAUUUUCGCAUCCUACUCCAAAUACAGUUGAAAAAAAGUUCAGUACUUUUUUUGUACCUUGGGAUUUUCAAUGUCUUUUCAGUAAGAGGGGUAACACUUCGAGUGUGUGAAUUGUUUACUGGUUUGAGCCGCUGGUUAUUAUUAGUUUUCCGAAGAAAUUACAUGUGGGAAGGGCAUUAGUCUUACCACUUUGAAAAUAGAUCUCAGAUGAAGCAAGAGGACCCCCUGAAUUUAAGCAUAUUAUUAAGGGGAGGAAAAGAAACUAACAAGGAUUCCCCUAGUAACGGCGAGUGAAGCGGGAUGAGCUCAAAUUGAAAAUCGGCAACCCAUGCGGGUUGUCGAAUUGUAGCCUAGAGACGUAUUGUCAGCGUGUGGCCCAGGUAUAAAUCUUUUGAAACAAGGUAUCACAGAGGGUGAGAAUCCCGUCUUUGACCUGGAGAUCGCCGCGUACGACGUACGUUCGUAGAGUCGAGUUGCUUGGGAAUGCAGCUCUAAAUGGGUGGUAAAUUUCAUCUAAAGCUAAAUAUUGACGAGAGACCGAUAGCGAACAAGUACCGUGAGGGAAAGAUGAAAAGAACUUUGAAAAGAGAGUUAAAAAGUACUUGAAAUUGUUAAGAGGGAAGCGCUGGAAACCAGUCAUUAUCUAUAACUAUACUUACUAUUUGCUCUCGAAGGAUGUUGCGGAUCAGAGUGCUAAACCUGGUCGGAUAUCGGACGAAGGGUGAGUGGGUCCUGUAGUUGUAGAUGGGUCAGAAUCAAUUCGAUUCGCGGGUGAAGACUAUGGGAAAGGUAGGAUCUCCGGAUCUGUUAUAGUCCUAUAGGCCUGACCGUGGGUUGGAUUGAGGAUGUCUAAUGUGCGCCGCAAGGUUUCGAUUGCUUAUUUCUGCUAGGUUAGCCGCUUUGGAGAACAAUGUUCUGCGGGUAGCGAAGCUUGGUACUAAGUGGGACAAUCAGAUGCACAUUCGCGAUUCUGACGAAAUGGUUUUCAUCGACCCGUCUUGAAACACGGACCAAGGAGUCUAACAUGUAUGCGAGUAUUUGGGUGGUAAACCCUGAUGCGUAAUGAAAGUGAAGGUAGUUUCGGCUACUGAGGUAGGAAUCCGGUAACGGAGGCACUAUCGACCGAUCGUCACUUGUGAUAGAUUUGAGUAAGAGCAUAUCUGUUGGGACCCGAAAGAUGGUGAUCUAUGCCUGAACAGGGUGAAGCCAGGGGAAACUCUGGUGGAGGCUCGUAGCGAUACUGACGUGCAAAUCGUUCGUCUGAUUUGGGUAUAGGGGCGAAAGACUAAUCGAACCAUCUAGUAGCUGGUUCCCUC
Molecule: unclassified non-coding RNA, 2095 nt
Filed under: uncultured fungus
Lineage: Eukaryota; Fungi
Description: sequence contains 18S rRNA gene, ITS1, 5.8S rRNA gene, ITS2, 28S rRNA gene
Rfam family: Eukaryotic large subunit ribosomal RNA (bases 978-2095)
Source: RNAcentral